UUAAUGGAGAGUUUGAUCCUGGCUCAGGACGAACGCUGGCGGCGUGCCUAAUACAUGCAAGUCGAGCGAGGGUCUUCGGACCCUAGCGGCGGACGGGUGAGUAACACGUAGGCAACCUGCCU
This 122-nucleotide ribosomal RNA is filed under the name Brevibacillus laterosporus. RNAcentral describes it as "partial 16S ribosomal RNA". It matches the Rfam family "Bacterial small subunit ribosomal RNA", at positions 1 to 131 of the family's 1533-position model. Lineage: Bacteria; Bacillati; Bacillota; Bacilli; Caryophanales; Paenibacillaceae. The record is from RNAcentral.